Bos taurus (domestic cattle) is the source of this 72-nucleotide non-coding RNA. Lineage: Eukaryota; Metazoa; Chordata; Mammalia; Artiodactyla; Bovidae. The record is from Rfam.
UCCCUGAUGGCUUAGCUGGUAAAGAAUCUACCUGCAACGUGGGAGACCCAGGUUCAAUCCCUGGGUUGGGAG